Non-coding RNA from Mycena vulgaris, 97 nucleotides. NCBI's taxonomy places the organism in Eukaryota, Fungi, Basidiomycota, Agaricomycetes, Agaricales, Mycenaceae. The record is from the annotation of a GenBank genome assembly.
GGCUCCGUGGCGGAUGGUCCGCACCCGCACAUCAUUUCGGAGAUAUUCCAGGAAGCUUGAUUGCGGGGUAGCGCCUGUUCGAUUCAGGCCGGGGCCG